This is a non-coding RNA of Pelobates cultripes (western spadefoot toad), 1113 nucleotides long. The record is from the annotation of a GenBank genome assembly. Lineage: Eukaryota; Metazoa; Chordata; Amphibia; Anura; Pelobatidae.
GUUCAAGGCCAGAGAUGAGGUGGCGGCAGGAUUUGAAUCCUUGAUCCCACUCAUCACUGCUAACAAGAAUGUUAACUGGAUCAAUUAUAUCUACUAUAAACAGCAACGAUUUGUCAAUUAUACUAGAGAUUCCCUUCAGGGCUUAGCAGAACAAUUACAGACUACCUCCCAAAUGACAUUUCAGAAUCGAAUGGCCUUAGACAUGAUCCUAUCAGAAAAGGGGCGCAUGUGUAAAAUACUCCCCAAUACUAUGACAUGCUGUACCUUCAUCCCAGACAAUACAGGCCCUAAUGGUAAGGUAACCAUGGCUAUAGAGAAAUUAGAAAGUCUUUCUGACGAAUUAAAGAGGAAUUCGGGAGUCCCCAGUUUAUGGGACAGAUGGUUUGGAUGGAUGAAUGGAUGGCAGAAAACUCUCUUUCAAGUAGGUAUGGCAGUUCUUACUGUGGUAAUUCUCUUUCUCUUCCUGAUUUGCUGUGUGAAGCCCUGUGUACAGAAAUAUUUACAGAAGACUGUAGGUCAGACUAUUGAUCACACUACACCUACAUUCCUACAUCAGGAUAUCGACGAUAUGGACUGUGACACCCCACACACACCUCUUCAGUCCCACUACUUCAAACACACAACUACUUCCAUAUAGGGAUAGUAUAGGUACAGCAUCUGUCUCUACGGGCAGGAGUCUGACGCAGGAGAUGUAGUGGGUUAGCCGCUGUGGGAUACCUGCGCAGUGAAGCGUUCGAGGCCUGUUCAGACAGAUGAGCUGCAGCCAGUUAGGGACAUCAUUAGGGUUAGUUAGUAGUUGUCUCGCUCUUUCGUAAAUAGUAAUUUUAAGGGGGGACUGUUGUGGACAAAAAUAUUAACCCAAUCCAUGUUGGUAAAAUGCCUAUUUACUCAGUAUAACUACAAUCAGCAUUAUUCAACUUUCUAUGUGAUUUACCUAAAAUGGCCGCUAGGGAGUUUCCCUUUGACAUCGACUAACACCCUCAUUAACAAGAUGGCGCUGGAAUCUGGGGGAGACCUCCAAGAUACCAGUGACAUCACACCUGGUAGGAAGAGCACUAAAUGAACCACUUAACACCUAACCAAUUAUUGAUGUAUUAUUCCAUGUUAUCUCUG